UACGUAGGCAGCUAGCGUUGUUCGGAAUUACUGGGCGUAAAGCGAGUGUAGGCGGUUUGCCAAGUCCGUUGUGAAAUCUCCCGGCUCAACUGGGAGGGUGCGGCGGAAACUGGCAGGCUAGAGUGCGGAAUGGGAGAGUGGAAUUCCUGGUGUAGCGGUGAAAUGCGUAGAUAUCAGGAGGAACACCGGUGGUGAAGACGGCUCUCUGGACCGCUACUGACGCUGAGACUCGAAAGCGUGGGGAGCAAACAGGAUUAGAAACCCGUGUAGU
RNAcentral lists this ribosomal RNA (271 nucleotides) under uncultured bacterium. RNAcentral's name for it is "partial 16S ribosomal RNA". It matches the Rfam family "Bacterial small subunit ribosomal RNA", at positions 524 to 794 of the family's 1533-position model. The record is from RNAcentral.